Molecule: unclassified non-coding RNA, 349 nt
Organism: Fukomys damarensis (Damara mole-rat)
Lineage: Eukaryota; Metazoa; Chordata; Mammalia; Rodentia; Bathyergidae
Gene: 7SK
Rfam family: 7SK RNA
About the family: 7SK was discovered as an abundant small nuclear RNA in the mid-70s but a possible function has only recently been suggested. Two independent studies have found that 7SK RNA binds the CDK9/cyclin T complex (known as elongation factor P-TEFb).
Source: Ensembl
GGAUGUGAGGGAGAACUGGCUGCGACAUCGAUCGCUCCAUGGAUCUCCAGGGUUGAUUGGGAUGAUCUGGCUGGCUAGGCGGGUGUCCCCUUCCUGCCUCACCGCUCCAUGUGUGUCCCUCCCGAAGCUGAGCUCUCGGUCUAAGCCGAUGGCCCCAAACACAGGAGGACGGUUUCCUCGGUCAGGCACACAAAGUAGCUGCGCUCCCCUGCUAGAACCUCCAAACAAGCUCUCAAAAACAGCCAACCCAAAAGUAAUCUGAGCGACGGUGAGGAUGAAACACCAUAAAUUCAAGUGAUAGCCAUGGACACUGUUUUGUGUUGAGCGAGUCUGUUCCUUAAUGUUUCAU